Camelus dromedarius (Arabian camel) is the source of this 6367-nucleotide long non-coding RNA. RefSeq lists it as uncharacterized. The transcript has 2 exons. The record is from RefSeq and is a predicted model, not a curated record. NCBI's taxonomy places the organism in Eukaryota, Metazoa, Chordata, Mammalia, Artiodactyla, Camelidae.
UUUUAAACAGAAUGAGACAUCACCUUGGCCUGUUUUCUUGUGAGUGCCAAGUAGGUGUCCGGUAGCCUCGCACUGCACCUGUCCUGACGGAGCUCGGCCCUGGGAGGGAGGACCAGCGGGUUCUGGGGGGCUGAAACGAGGCAGCAUCCCUGGGAAGCCCAGGUUAGGGUAAACGUCUGAAGCUCUGUCCUGGGUGGGGGUCGAGGCUGCUUCUGUGUCAUACUCAGCUCAGGUCAGCAGGCCGGUGACAGGCCCUGCAGCAGGCGAGCUGCGCACUGGCCGACUUCAGAGAGCGGCGUUCCUCCCCGCUGGUGUUCGAGGUUAAAUUAUGACUAGUUUUUACGGUUUCCUCAGGGUUCCUCAGACCAGGCCCAGGAGAUUCCAUGGGGAACAGCUAGGCACUAGGGUGAAUUCUUGAGCGAUCAGGUGGUUACCUGCAGCCAUCGACAGCUGGGGUUUACAGUAAUAGAGCCCCGCGGCUCCUGCACUGCGAUGUGAAGGGCAUGGCUACAGCUCUGACGGGCGGUGGACCCACAUUGUCCUUGCAUUCAGCCCGUCACCAGGAGCCAUCAGCAGUGUUCGCUCAAACCUCACAGAGUUGGGGAGGGACCUUUUCUACAAAGAGGAAGGCACAAAGAGGUGGACGACUACAGCUUGGUGGCCUUGAUGGGGGCUCGGAGAGUGUUGUCUGCCGCCUGCCAGGCUGAGGUGCUUGGGUCCUUGUUAGGCUGCUGGUUCUUGGAAGUGAGACCCUAACGAAGGGAGGAGCCCUUUCUAACCAUGUGAUCAAGCACGUGGGUCACAUGGGGUUUGGCUCUUGAGUUUUUGGGUUUGGGGAGAUAACUGGAAUAAAACUCUUGAGAUGUUUUGAGCUGUGUUUGAGGACUUCAGUCCAGGCCUUUGAAGGAACUGUCUCCUUUCCUGCCCUUGGAUUUCGACUUCCUGGACAGGGAAGGCACUCAUCUCAUGGGCAGUCUUUGCACUGGCCGCCUGUUUGAGCAGAAAGGUGCUUGCAGCCUUCACUGGGGCUCAGGAAACUGCUCAGGAGAGGAGGCAGGCCUCUGGAUUCUUGGACAAACCCUGGGCAGCUGGGCUAGGGGCGCUUCCAAAACAAACCGCAUUUUUAGGGAAGCAACACUGGCCUCUGAGUGGAGCCAGGAAGAGAAAGCGCUGAAAGGGGUGUUGAAGUGAAAGCCCCUUUGUCUCUCAGGACGCCAGAGGCGGGCCUCCCGGGGCCGGGCCUUCCCUCUGGCUCCUGGAGCCCAAGGGGUCUCAGGGGAUCAGGUCCCAGCGCAGAGCAGCGGCCCGAGCCCCUCCCGGGACAGGCUCAUGGGGCGGGCGGCUUCUUCGCCGGCAUCCUGAGGCCUCGGGGUCCCCGUCCGCCCCUGGCGCCGAGCCCAGGCCAGCCCUGAGUGGCCACAGCCGCACCGAGGGCGCUGAGGGGUCUUUCAGGUGCCCGGGUGCUGUGUGAAUCGUACUCUGGCAGGUCACAGAGCAGACUGCUCGUGAGGGUGGCUUUAGUGGCUUUUACCCCUGCUGUGUAACGUCUGAGGGACUGCGAUUCUGUGGAAACAGUGAGUGCUCCGUAGUCAGAGAGCGUGUCCUCUGGAGGGGCGGGGUGGUGACAUCCAGGACAGUCAGCUGACCUGCAGGAUGACCGCACCAGAGGGACAGCCGGUCCCUUUGUCUCCGCAGUCGGGCAGAGUGUCUGCCACACGGGAGGCACUCAGUGUGUUAAAUGCAAACAGACGACGGUGUAUCCGACGUGGUGCUGCUGGGAGGGGAGAAGGCCAGCCCGAGAGGUGCUGAGCACCAGCCAGGGCCCCACACCGCGUGCCUCGCGGCUCCAGGCAUCUCAGGCGGGGGCCUGGGGCCUCGAAGGCAGGCUGGCUGGGUGGGGAGGGCCCGGGUCUCAGGAGUCGCCCAGGGAAAGGCGGGGACUCUGCUGCGAUUUGUUCUUGGGUCGCACCUGGCCAGAGAGAUGCUGCCCUGGGAGACCCUCAGUUCAGAGACCCCAGAAGCGGACAGGCCAGGCCUCCCCUGGGCCAGACAGGCCGCACAGAAUAAGACCACCCCCCCCAAACAUCCCGACUGCACAUGGGCCUAAACGAGACGGAGAGAGGGAGAGGUGGGGGAGAGGGAGCUCUCCAUUCAGGGCCGUGAUGAGCGGGGUCCCUGGAGCUUGAGUUCCCUCGGGUGGUCUUGGGGGCUCCUGAAGUCAGAGCCUGUGAGGCGGGGUGGCACUGACACCUUCCCCUUGGGUGGGAGGGGAGUCAGCUGGUUAAUUCAGGACGGCCCUGCACACCGCAGCGCAGCGCUCUGCACGCCGGCUGCUGGAGGGGUGUGUGCGUCAGGAGUCCCAGCAACGCCGUGUCCUCUGCACUUGGCUGUCUCCGCUUCCUUCAGUUCCUGUCCUUGGGGAGACACUGCCCUCUCAUUGCACAAGAGAUCUGCCCCAGGUCACUCAGCAUCUGGGAGGCAGGGAGGCGCAGCCCCUGGUCCUUGGUCAAGGGCUGCGUUCUCUCAGGGGCCAUGAACAAAGCCGGGAGGCAAGUGGCAGGUUUGGAAGGAGUGCGGGACACCUGGGUCGCAGACAGAAAGCUGAAGGAUUAGUAUUUGCCAGUGUUGAGAACUUCCGCAAAGUGGUACAAGAAGCGACACGUGGACAAUGGUGGACACAGGGUACUGAAGGGACGGUUCCCAGAGCCAGUGCAGGUGUCCAGGAGGUGCUCGCAUGUGCUCAGAAUCAGGAAGUUGAUCAAGUGUCAGUCACAGCGUCAGGACAGCGCUUGACUCACUGGAGGGCAAAGCUUUAAGAAAGAAAGACUGCCCGUGGGGAGGGGGUCACCGUGGGAUGUCUCGGUCUUUCUGAAAACAAUGCGGCGUGGAUGACGACUGGGAACUGGGCAGAACAAGAGGACGCUGGCGGGCGUGGGGCUGGCAGGCCGGGGGAGCCCCAGUCUGGAGGCAGCUGUGGAGGUGAGUGCCUUCAGUGUAGGAGAAGGAGCAUGGGUUGGGGGAGGGAUGCGGCCCAGGGUGUGCAGGGCCCGGAGGUGGGAGGAGGGUGGGUGGCCAGCAGGGUGGGCGAGGGGGUCCCCAGCAGCAGUGAGGGGGUGCUGGGGUGGAGGGCCGCGCUCAGGCUUUCCUUCCAGACUCCUGGGUCUGCCCCAAGCUUAGGCCUUGUUCAGUUUUCUUUGGUUCCCCGUUUGCAGCUGAAGCAGAGAGGGAAGGCCUGGCCUUCAAGGUCAAGGGCCAUUAAUUCUAAAGGAGACACUGAUUCCCUGGCUGAAGCCCUGAGCUGGGAGAGCCUGUCAGCAGAGGGCCUGGCCGAGCCCUGCGACUGGGCAGGCGUCUGCCUGGAGGGAGGCCUGCUAGGCCAUCAGAGGGGGCGUCUGUCUGCAGCUGGAGCCUGCCUGCCGGGCCGGUUUCCUGCUCAGCUGAGGGUUGGCCUCGUCGUGACAGUUAAGAGAGGACUCCAUACCAUCCGAGGGUCACUGGGGUCAGUGGGCUGAGUCUUCCUGGGGAGGGGCCUGUGUGGGACCCAGGGUGACCGCUCCCGCUGACAGUCCCUGGACGGUGCUGUUCGUUUUGUUUUGCUUUGUUUUUUUCCUUUGACUCUUUGAAUUUUAAAAUUAAUUUUGCUGAGACUUAAUUUAUCCUGUCACUUGGAAGGCUCACUUCUGUCCCCAGCUGUGCCCAGUGCAGUUAAAUAAAUGUUGAAAGAACCUGCUGGAACCCUUGCUGAGGUGGGAAAACCACGAAACCUGCUAUGAAAAGAACAUUUGGAACAGUUGGCUGUAUUUUUCUUUACUUAGCAUCCUGCUGAUCAUCAUCAUAAUCCCAAAAGAUGCCUUUGAUUGAAAGACAGCUUUGAGCCCAGCAUUUAUAUCCCACCGAGCCCUCAGGAUGUUCCAGAGCGAUAAAGUUUACAAAGAAACCCAAAUCAAGAAAAAAUGAAAAAUGUCUGCUCAGCAAAGGUGCCUUUGAGGACAAGUCAAGCUGUGGACGGAGGCGUGUCACGGUACACGUGGCUGCAAAGGCUUCAUUCAGAAAAUGUAGAGAACUACAAAUCAGCAGCACAACACAGGCAGUCUAAUGAAGAUAUGGGCAAACGAUGGGAGUGGAAAGUUUGUACACGGAGACCUGCAGAUGGCCAGCGAGCGCCUGGCAAGAUACUCGGCCAUCAGGGAGAUGACACGCGGUGUCAUUUCUCAUGGAAUUGAUGACCAGUGUCUAGAGUCAAACUACAGACAGAAGAUGCCCUCUAGGUUGUGGAGCCUCCUCUGGAACCUCCUCUGGGGUGGGGCAGUAGGGGCUGCCCACCACGGGAAACAAGUGGGCAGUGUCUUAAAAAGUUCAGCCUACGUCUUUCUUAUAGAUCAUUCUCUUGCAAAUUCCGCUUUUAGGUAUUUGCCUAAGUAAAGGGAAUGCGUGUGCACCGAAACAGAAAAAACCCAAAACCCCCAAACAAAAACACUUGUACAAGAACAUUUAACAGCCGCCUCUAUAACAGCCUCAAACUGGCCUCUGACCCAAGUGCCCCCAGUGGAGAGGGAACAAGCUGUGUUGUGCCGGCAGGAUGACAUGGGGUACAGGCGCACACAGCAGCGUGGGUGCAUCUUGAAACCGUAGUGCUGAAAGAGAUCGCCCAGACACGAGAGCCCAUGAUUAUGGUUGCAUUUAUGUGAAGUCCGAGUGCAGACGAAGCUCCGCCGGGGGAUGCAAGUCAGAAAGUGGAGGUGCGUAGCAGGUGGAAUUGACUGGAAGUGAGGAAGGAACUUCUGGGGUGAUGGAUUUUCCUGUCUCGUCUGUGGUUGAUAGUCACAUGGUUGCCCUUAACUGUCAGCACUCUUCAGAGUGAGCACUUAGGAUCUGUGCGUCUGGUUGUAUGUAAAUUGUACCUCAAUACAGUUCUUAAAAAGAAAAGUUAGUUCUGCUCGGGCUGCUGUAGCAGACAACCACACGCUGGAGGACUUAAACAACAGAGGUUAGUGUUCUCACACUUGUGGAGGCUGGGAGUCCAGGACCAGGUGCUGGCAGGGCUGGUUUCUGCUGAGACUGCUCCCCUUGGCUCGCAGACCGUCUUCUCUCCGUGUCCUCACGGGACCUCUUCCCUGUGCAUGUUCCCCUGGUGUCUCCUCCUCUUAAAGGGACACCGUCCUAUUGCAUUAGGGCCCCACCCUAAUGACUUCAUUUAGCCUUAAUUUCUUCCUUCAAGUCCCCGUCUCCACAUACAGUCACCGUGGGGGUUAGGACUUCAGUAUAUGAAUUGGGGGUGGUGGUGCAAAGUUCAGUCCAAAAGAGUUUUAAAAAGAAAAAUAUAGUAACACCUGCCGUGCUGAGUGGUUGGAAGAAGUAAGUGGUAAAAUGAGGUGCAGGUCUGAGCUGGAGCCCCACCCAUGCGGGGGCUGGCCACUGUCCUCCCAGCUAGCUUUUCACUGCCAGGUUUUUUGUUUUGUUACUUGGAGCGUAUGGCCAUGUGGCUUUGACUACACUUUUGGGGACUGUUAACCAGUAACGUGUGUGGGCCCUAGCUCGUACUGAGAUGAAGUGCCUGCGGCAGGGAGGAGCACUUCAUCGAUGAGUUAGCCUCUGCGUGCACUUUGGUUCCAAAGUCUAGUUGCUAAUAAAGGGCAUUGUCCCCAGUCAUAGACGAGAGGAAGGGUGGUAGCCCAGGCAUGCUUGGUCUGGGAACUUCUGGCUCUCACGCCUGGAAACAAAAGGCAAAAGCGUUGUUAAAACCUGAGAUUGUGAUCUAUGGAAAAAUUUGGAUAUUUAAGGAAAAAUAAAGCGGAUAGAGUUAUAAUUUUGUCCUGCUCCAGAUGUGCAUAUUCAACAACCUAAUUGAGGGAAAAGCUUCUCUUGCUCUGUUCACAAGGCAGAAAAACAGGAUUUUCAAGAGGCUAUUUCUUUUUAACUGACUUUAUCAAGGUGUAGUUUACAUGCAGUGCUCAUUUCAAGUGUGCAGGCGAUGUGUUGACAGAUACAGGCAUCCAUGUGACUUCUGUCACAUACAAGGCAUUGGACAUUUCCCUUCCCCUCAGACCCAAAACACGCCCUCCUGUUCCUUUGCAGCCAGGCCUCCCCGCCCGCAGCCUCUGACCUCUGUGGAACGUAGCAUAGUUCUGCUGUUCUAGCAUCUCAUACAAAUGAGAUCGUAGCCUUUUGCAUCUGGCGUAUUUUGCUGAGAGAGUGUUUUUAAUAUUCAACCAUGAUACAGUCAUUAAUCAGUACAGUACAUUCUUUUUUACUAAUCAGUGGUUCAGCGAUCAAUAGCUGGUUCUUUUCUGUUGCUGAGCACUAUGUCAUUUUAUGGAUAUAUCAGUUUUUAUUUUAAUGUCUAAUUAAAAAAAUGUUUGUUGGGUGA